GUGUUCGCCUUGGCAGCACGUGUGCCGAAAUUGGAACGAUACAGAGAUUAGUACAGCCCCUGCACAUGGAUGACAUGCAAAUGCAGGAAGUGUUCCACAUUGAA
Molecule: small nuclear RNA, 104 nt
Organism: Neomonachus schauinslandi (Hawaiian monk seal)
Lineage: Eukaryota; Metazoa; Chordata; Mammalia; Carnivora; Phocidae
Source: RefSeq, a predicted model, not a curated record